AGAGUUUGAUCAUGGCUCAGGACGAACGCUGGCGGCGUGCCUAAUGCAUGCAAGUCGAGCGGGCUACGAUCUUCGGAUUGUAGCUUAGCGGCGAACGGGUGAGUAACACGUAGGUAAUCUACCCUUCAGAGGAGGACAACCUCAGGAAACUGAGGCUAAACCUUCAUACGUUCACUGGUAGGGAUACUGGUGAAGAAAGAGUUACCUUAGUGGUAGCUGCUGAAGGAUGAGCCUGCGGCCCAUCAGGUAGUUGGUGAGGUAACGGCUCACCAAGCCGAAGACGGGUAACCGGUCUGAGAGGAUGUCCGGUCACACUGGGACUGAGACACGGCCCAGACUCCUACGGGAGGCAGCAGCAGGGAAUCUUGGGCAAUGGGCGAAAGCCUGACCCAGCGACGCCGCGUGGAGGAAGAAGUCCUUCGGGGCGUAAACUCCUGGACUGGGGGGCGAGGAAGGACGGUACCCCAGUAGAAAGGGACGGCUAACUACGUGCCAGCAGCCGCGGUAAAACGUAGGUCCCGAGCGUUGUUCGGAUUCACUGGGUGUAAAGGGCGCGUAGGUGGUUGUCUGUGUCUCAUGUGAAAACUCAGGGCUCAACUCUGAGAUUGCGUGGGAAACUAGGCAGCUAGAGGACGGUAGAGGGGAGUGGAAUUCCCGGUGUAGCGGUAAAAUGCGUAGAUAUCGGGAGGAACACCGGUGGCGAAGGCGGCUCUCUGGGCCGAUCCUGACGCUGAGGCGCGAAAGCUAGGGGAGCGAACCGGAUUAGAUACCCGGGUAGUCCUAGCCGUAAACGAUGGGUGCUAGGUGUUGGGGGGGUAAAGACCCUUCAGUGCCGAAGCCAACGCGAUAAGCAUCCCACCUGGGGAGUACGGCCGCAAGGUUGAAACUCAAAUGAAUUGACGG
This 903-nucleotide ribosomal RNA is filed under the name uncultured bacterium. Its description in RNAcentral is "bacterial SSU rRNA". It matches the Rfam family "Bacterial small subunit ribosomal RNA", at positions 8 to 916 of the family's 1533-position model. The record is from RNAcentral.